RNAcentral lists this long non-coding RNA (1084 nucleotides) under Homo sapiens (human). RNAcentral describes it as "HSALNT0393296". Lineage: Eukaryota; Metazoa; Chordata; Mammalia; Primates; Hominidae. The record is from RNAcentral.
CUCUCCAUCUAACCGUGGAACCGCCCUGCUCGGGAGCCCACUCCCCUGGAGGGCCGAGGGCGUCUUAGGCCAGAACAUGAGGAGGCUGGAUAAAUGGGAAUCGUCUCUCUCCAGUCGCAGCAAAGAGAAUUUACUUGCGUAGGACCCUAGGCAUUUCCUACGGGAAAAGAAGUGAAGACACGCCCGAGCUAGGCUGCCCCGCCCGCUCUACAGAAGGGGUGGUGCUGUCCGUGACCCCUCCCAACCCUCUCCACCCCGGAAUGGCCUGGCCUGCACGAGGUUGCAUCUCCCCAGAAGACACCGAAACAAGGAUUUCAGUGCAAGUUGUUUCAUGGGAGACUUCAAGAAGCAUCAGGGUCGAUCCCAGCACUUUGGGAGGCCAAGGACAUCUUUCAAUGGCUCCUGGCCAACUGGCAGCAGAAUUUUACCUUCCUGUGCAUGAAUGACCUUGGAUAUUAUUCUUGGUGGCAUGACUGGACACCUGCAGCCUCUUGAUGUUUCCAGUCAAAAAGGUAUUUAAGAGCCAUUUGUCAGGCGGACCACUUGAGCCCACGAGUUUGAGGCCAGCCUGGGCAGCAUAGUGGCACGCUGUUUCUAAAAAACAAAACAAAACAAAAACAAAACAAACAAACAAACAAACAAAAAACGAAAGAAAGGAAGAAAGAAAGAGAAAAGAGCAGUAAUAUCUUCAUCACUGGUCAUUGGUCAUUGUCUUUAAAACAACUUUCCAUCGAUAUCUUCUGGGGAGAACAAGAGAGCACUAGUGUCAAAACUUCAACCAGCUUGGAAGAAAAUUCUGGAGAUAAGAGAGCAAUAAUUUUUUAGGUUGAAUCACAUAAGUUUGCCAUCUUUUGGUCAAAAACAGUCUAAUGAGCAAUUUCACUUGGUUCCACUUACAAGAAAAGUUCCAUCUCUAACACUCUUGAUGGGACUGUGUGCAGAAAUAAGGGCAUUGACAAGUCGGAAUUAAAACAUAAUCUAGAAGGGUUGCAUUCUGAAUAUAAAAAGUUUUAGGAAUAUUUAAACCAGUUUGUUUUACUUAUAUUUUCCUUCUUUAUACAUAUGACAAGAGUAAUAUUUUUUA